UACGGGGGGGGCAAGCGUUGUUCGGAAUUACUGGGCGUAAAGGGCUCGCAGGCGGCCAACUAAGUCAUACGUGAAAUCCCUCGGCUUAACCGGGGAACUGCGUCUGAUACUGGAUGGCUUGAGUUCGGGAGAGGGAUGCGGAAUUCCAGGUGUAGCGGUGAAAUGCGUAGAUAUGCGGAGGAACACCGAUGGCGAAGGCGGCAUCCUGGACCUAUACUGACGCUGAUGCGCGAAAGCCAGGGGAGCAAACGGG
This 253-nucleotide ribosomal RNA is filed under the name uncultured bacterium. RNAcentral describes it as "partial 16S ribosomal RNA". It matches the Rfam family "Bacterial small subunit ribosomal RNA", at positions 524 to 776 of the family's 1533-position model. The record is from RNAcentral.